CCAAGGAGUCUAACAUGUGCGCGAGUCGUCGGGUCUUGAAUAGGCCCGCAGGCGAAAUGAAAGUGAAGGGCGACCGAGUUGUCGCCUGCGUUGGGAUCCCCAGACCGUCGCGUCUGGGGCGCACCAACGGCCCGUCCCGUCCGCGUCGUCGGUGGGACGGAGCGAGAGCGUACACGUUGGGACCCGAAAGAUGGUGAACUAUGCCUGGGCAGGACGAGGCCAGAGGAAACUCUGGUGGAGGUCCGCAGCGAUUCUGACGUGCAAAUCGAUCGUCAGACCUGGGUAUAGGGGCGAAAGACUAAUCGAACCGUCUAGUAGCUGGUUCCCUCCGAAGUUUCCCUCAGGAUAGCUGGCGCUCGAGGGAGUCAGUCUCAUCCGGUAAAGCGAAUGAUUAGAGGCCUUGGGGCCGAAACGACCUCAACCUAUUCUCAAACUUUCAAUGGGUGAGAAGUCCGGUUUACAUGACUGAAGCCCGGACAAUUCUCAGGAUGCGAGUGCCCAGUGGGCCACUUUU
Molecule: ribosomal RNA, 514 nt
Filed under: Maaykuyak waueri
Lineage: Eukaryota; Metazoa; Arthropoda; Arachnida; Scorpiones; Vaejovidae
Description: eukaryotic LSU rRNA
Rfam family: Eukaryotic large subunit ribosomal RNA
Source: RNAcentral